UCGACGAACCAUCCUGUUGAUUGAAGCUUGCUUCUUGAUUCAGAUUUUGGUGAGUGGCGGACGGGUGAGUAACACGUGGGUAACCUGCCCAAAAGUGGGGGAUAACAUUUGGAAACAAGUGCUAAUACCGCAUAACAACUGCUUUCACAUGAUCGCAGCUUGAAAGAUGGCUCUGCUAUCGCUUUUGGAUGGACCCGCGGCGUAUUAGCUAGUUGGUGAGGUAAUAGCUCACCAAGGCAAUGAUACGUAGCCGACCUGAGAGGGUAAUCGGCCACAUUGGGACUGAGACACGGCCCAAACUCCUACGGGAGGCAGCAGUAGGGAAUCUUCCACAAUGGGCGAAAGCCUGAUGGAGCAAUGCCGCGUGAGUGAAGAAGGUUUUCGGAUCGUAAAACUCUGUUGUUGAAGAAGAACAUGCGUGAGAGUAACUGUUCACGUACUGACGGUAUUCAACCAGAAAGCCACGGCUAACUACGUGCCAGCAGCCGCGGUAAUACGUAGGUGGCAAGCGUUGUCCGGAUUUAUUGGGCGUAAAGAGAAUGUAGGCGGUUUAUUAAGUUUGAAGUGAAAGCCCUCGGCUCAACCGAGGAAGUGCUUCGA
RNAcentral lists this ribosomal RNA (600 nucleotides) under Companilactobacillus farciminis. RNAcentral's name for it is "bacterial SSU rRNA". It matches the Rfam family "Bacterial small subunit ribosomal RNA", at positions 62 to 629 of the family's 1533-position model. Lineage: Bacteria; Bacillati; Bacillota; Bacilli; Lactobacillales; Lactobacillaceae. The record is from RNAcentral.